This 460-nucleotide ribosomal RNA is filed under the name uncultured bacterium. RNAcentral's name for it is "partial 16S ribosomal RNA". It matches the Rfam family "Bacterial small subunit ribosomal RNA", at positions 338 to 795 of the family's 1533-position model. The record is from RNAcentral.
CCUACGGGUGGCAGCAGUGAGGAAUAUUGGUCAAUGGACGAGAGUCUGAACCAGCCAAGUAGCGUGAAGGAUGACUGCCCUAUGGGUUGUAAACUUCUUUUAUAUGGGAAUAAAAUGUUCCACUUUUGGGAUUUUGUAUGUACCUUAUGAAUAAGGAUCGGCUAACUCCGUGCCAGCAGCCGCGGUAAUACGGAGGAUCCGAGCGUUAUCCGGAUUUAUUGGGUUUAAAGGGAGCGUAGGUGGAUUGUUAAGUCAGUUGUGAAAGUUUGCGGCUGAACCGGAAAAUUGCAGUUGAUACUGGCAGUCUUGAGUACAGUAGAGGUGGGCGGAAGUCGUGGUGUAGCGGUGAAAUGCUUAGAUAUCACGAAGAACUCCGAUUGCGAAGGCAGUUCACUGGACUGCAACUGACACUGAGGCUCGAAAGUGUGGGUAUCAAACAGGAUUAGAUACCCGAGUAGUC